CUAAGGAUUUUUUUUAUUUCUGCUCAGGACGAACGCUGGCGGCGUGCCUAAUACAUGCAAGUCGAACGCUUCUUUUUCCACCGGAGCUUGCUCCACCGGAAAAAGAAGAGUGGCGAACGGGUGAGUAACACGUGGGUAACCUGCCCAUCAGAAGGGGAUAACACUUGGAAACAGGUGCUAAUACCGUAUAACAAUCAAAACCGCAUGGUUUUGAUUUGAAAGGCGCUUUCGGGUGUCGCUGAUGGAUGGACCCGCGGUGCAUUAGCUAGUUGGUGAGGUAACGGCUCACCAAGGCCACGAUGCAUAGCCGACCUGAGAGGGUGAUCGGCCACAUUGGGACUGAGACACGGCCCAAACUCCUACGGGAGGCAGCAGUAGGGAAUCUUCGGCAAUGGACGAAAGUCUGACCGAGCAACGCCGCGUGAGUGAAGAAGGUUUUCGGAUCGUAAAACUCUGUUGUUAGAGAAGAACAAGGAUGAGAGUAACUGUUCAUCCCUUGACGGUAUCUAACCAGAAAGCCACGGCUAACUACGUGCCAGCAGCCGCGGUAAUACGUAGGUGGCAAGCGUUGUCCGGAUUUAUUGGGCGUAAAGCGAGCGCAGGCGGUUUCUUAAGUCUGAUGUGAAAGCCCCCGGCUCAACCGGGGAGGGUCAUUGGAAACUGGGAGACUUGAGUGCAGAAGAGGAGAGUGGAAUUCCAUGUGUAGCGGUGAAAUGCGUAGAUAUAUGGAGGAACACCAGUGGCGAAGGCGGCUCUCUGGUCUGUAACUGACGCUGAGGCUCGAAAGCGUGGGGAGCAAACAGGAUUAGAUACCCUGGUAGUCCACGCCGUAAACGAUGAGUGCUAAGUGUUGGAGGGUUUCCGCCCUUCAGUGCUGCAGCUAACGCAUUAAGCACCCGCCCGGGAGUCC
Molecule: ribosomal RNA, 910 nt
Filed under: Enterococcus faecium
Lineage: Bacteria; Bacillati; Bacillota; Bacilli; Lactobacillales; Enterococcaceae
Description: bacterial SSU rRNA
Rfam family: Bacterial small subunit ribosomal RNA
Source: RNAcentral